This 313-nucleotide ribosomal RNA is filed under the name Aerococcus urinae. Its description in RNAcentral is "bacterial SSU rRNA". It matches the Rfam family "Bacterial small subunit ribosomal RNA", at positions 1 to 303 of the family's 1533-position model. Lineage: Bacteria; Bacillati; Bacillota; Bacilli; Lactobacillales; Aerococcaceae. The record is from RNAcentral.
UUUCAUGAGAGUUUGAUCCUGGCUCAGGACGAACGCUGGCGGCGUGCCUAAUACAUGCAAGUCGAGCGAACCGACGAAGUGCUUGCACUUCUGACGUUAGCGGCGGACGGGUGAGUAACACGUAAGGAACCUACCGAUAAGCGGGGGACAACAUCCGGAAACGGAUGCUAAUACCGCAUAGGAAAUGUCACCACAUGGUGACAUUUGGAAAGACGGCUUUGCUGUCACUUAUCGAUGGCCUUGCGGUGCAUUAGCUCGUUGGUGGGGUAACGGCCUACCAAGGCAAUGAUGCAUAGCCGACCUGAGAGGGUAA